This 76-nucleotide transfer RNA is filed under the name Bacillus sp. PIC28. RNAcentral's name for it is "tRNA-Glu". It matches the Rfam family "tRNA". Rfam says of the family: Transfer RNA (tRNA) molecules are approximately 80 nucleotides in length. The record is from RNAcentral. Lineage: Bacteria; Bacillati; Bacillota; Bacilli; Caryophanales; Bacillaceae.
GGCCCGUUGGUCAAGUGGUUAAGACACCGCCCUUUCACGGCCGGUAACACGGGUUCGAAUCCCGUACGGGUCACCA